Molecule: ribosomal RNA, 292 nt
Filed under: uncultured bacterium
Lineage: Bacteria
Description: partial 16S ribosomal RNA
Source: RNAcentral
GGACUACCCGGGUAUCUAAUCCUGUUUGAUCCCCACGCUUUCGUGCCUCAGCGUCAAUGUCAGUCCAGAUAGCCGCUUGCGCCACUGGUGUUCCUCCCAAUAUCUACGCAUUUCACUGCUACACUGGGAAUUCCGCUAUCCUCUCCUGAAUUCUAGUCCAGUAGUUUCAAGAGCACUUCCAAGGUUGAGCCUUGGGCUUUCACUCCUGACUUUCUGAACAGCCUACGCACGCUUUACGCCCAGUGAUUCCGAAUAACGCUCGCCCCCUUCGUAUUACCGCGGCUGCUGGCAC